GUGCCAGCAGCCGCGGUAAUUCCAGCUCCAAUAGCGUAUAUUAAAGUUGUUGUGGUUAAAAAGCUCGUAGUUGAACCUUGGGCCUGGCUGGCCGGUCCGCCUCACCGCGUGCACUGGUCCGGCCGGGCCUUUCCCUCUGUGGAACCCCAUACCCUUCACUGGGCGUGGCGGGGAAACAGGACAUUUACUUUGAAAAAAUUAGAGUGCUCCAGGCAGGCCUAUGCUCGAAUACAUUAGCAUGGAAUAAUAAAAUAGGACGCGCGGUUCUAUUUUGUUGGUUUAUAGGACCGCCGUAAUGAUUAAUAGGGACAGUCGGGGGCAUCAGUAUUCAACUGUCAGAGGUGAAAUUCUUGGAUCAGUUGAAGACUAACUACUGCGAAAGCAUUUGCCAAGGAUGUUUUCAUUAAUCAGGAACGAAAGUUAGGGGAUCGAAGACGAUCAGAUACCGUCGUAGUCUUAACCAUAAACUAUGCCGACUAGGGAUCGGACGGUGUUAUUCAUGACCCGUUCGGCACCUUACGAGAAAUCAAAGUGCUUGGGCUCCAGGGGGAGUAUGGUCGCAAGGCUGAAACUUAAAGAAAUUGACGGAAGGGCACCACCAGGGGUUGGAGCCUGCGGCUUAAUUUGACUCAACACGGGGAAACUCACCAGGUCCAGACACAAUAAGGAUUGACAGAUUGAGAGCUCUUUCUUGAUUUUGUGGUGGUGGUGCAUGGACGAUCUUAGUUGGUGGGGGUGACUUGUCUGCUUAAUUGCGAUAAACGAACGGAGGACCUUAAACCUGCUAAAUAGGCCCGCAUUUGCUUCCGGCAGGUGCGCUUGGCUUCUUAGAAGGGGAC
This 839-nucleotide ribosomal RNA is filed under the name uncultured fungus. RNAcentral's name for it is "SSU rRNA". It matches the Rfam family "Eukaryotic small subunit ribosomal RNA", at positions 564 to 1422 of the family's 1831-position model. The record is from RNAcentral. Lineage: Eukaryota; Fungi.